RNAcentral lists this ribosomal RNA (490 nucleotides) under uncultured bacterium. Its description in RNAcentral is "partial 16S ribosomal RNA". It matches the Rfam family "Bacterial small subunit ribosomal RNA", at positions 30 to 507 of the family's 1533-position model. The record is from RNAcentral.
AUUGAACGCUGGCGGCAGGCCUAACACAUGCAAGUCGAACGGUAACAGGAAGCAGCUUGCUGCUUCGCUGACGAGUGGCGGACGGGUGAGUAAUGUCUGUGAAACUGCCUGAUGGAGGGGGAUAACUACUGGAAACGGUAGCUAAUACCGCAUAACGUCGCAAGACCAAAGAGGGGGACCUUAGGGCCUCUUGCCAUCGGAUGUGCCCAGAUGGGAUUAGCUAGUAGGUGGGGUAACGGCUCACCUAGGCCACGAUCCCUAGAUGGUCUGAGAGGAUGACCAGCCACACCGGAACUGAGACACGGUCCAGACUCCUACGGGAGGCAGCAGUGGGGAAUAUUGCACAAUGGGCGCAAGCCUGAUGCAGCCAUGCCGCGUGUAUGAAGAAGGCCUUCGGGUUGUAAAGUACUUUCAGCGGGGAGGAAGGGAGUAAAGUUAAUACCUUGGCUAAUUGACGUUACCCGAAGAAGAAGCACCGGCUAACUCCGUG